Molecule: non-coding RNA, 72 nt
Organism: Protopterus annectens (West African lungfish)
Lineage: Eukaryota; Metazoa; Chordata; Ceratodontiformes; Protopteridae
Source: the annotation of a RefSeq genome assembly
UCCUCGGUAGUCUAGUGGUUAGGAUUUGGCACUUUUACUGCCAUGGCUUGGGUUUGAUUCCCAGUCAGGGAA